RNAcentral lists this ribosomal RNA (440 nucleotides) under uncultured bacterium. RNAcentral describes it as "partial 16S ribosomal RNA". It matches the Rfam family "Bacterial small subunit ribosomal RNA", at positions 339 to 795 of the family's 1533-position model. The record is from RNAcentral.
CUACGGGUUGCAGCAGUGAGGAAUAUUGCACAAUGGGGGGAACCCUGAUGCAGCAACGCCGCGUGGAGGAUGACGCAUUUCGGUGUGUAAACUCCUUUUAUAUGUCAAGAAAAUGACGGUAGCAUAUGAAUAAGCACCGGCUAACUCCGUGGCCAGCAGCCGCGGUAAUACGGAGGGUGCAAGCGUUACUCGGAAUCACUGGGCGUAAAGGACGCGUAGGCGGGCUUGUAAGUCAGGUGUGAAAUCCUACAGCUUAACUGUAGAACUGCACUUGAAACUACGAGCCUAGAGUAUGGGAGGGGGAGAUGGAAUUAGUGGUGUAGGGGUAAAAUCCGUAGAUAUCACUAGGAAUACCUAAAGCGAAGGCGAUCUCCUGGAACAUAACUGACGCUAAGGCGUGAGAGCGUGGGGAGCAAACAGGAUUAGAUACCCCAGUAGUC